GGGCUAUUAGCUCAGUUGGUUAGAGCACACCCCUGAUAAGGGUGAGGUCCCUGGUUCAAAUCCUGGAUAGCCCA
Molecule: transfer RNA, 74 nt
Filed under: Crouania attenuata
Lineage: Eukaryota; Rhodophyta; Florideophyceae; Ceramiales; Callithamniaceae
Description: tRNA-Ile
Rfam family: tRNA
About the family: Transfer RNA (tRNA) molecules are approximately 80 nucleotides in length. Their secondary structure includes four short double-helical elements and three loops (D, anti-codon, and T loops). Further hydrogen bonds mediate the characteristic L-shaped molecular structure. tRNAs have two regions of fundamental functional importance: the anti-codon, which is responsible for specific mRNA codon recognition, and the 3' end, to which the tRNAs corresponding amino acid is attached (by aminoacyl-tRNA synthetases). tRNAs cope with the degeneracy of the genetic code in two manners: having more than one tRNA (with a specific anti-codon) for a particular amino acid; and 'wobble' base-pairing, i.e. permitting non-standard base-pairing at the 3rd anti-codon position.
Source: RNAcentral